RNAcentral lists this long non-coding RNA (2796 nucleotides) under Cucumis sativus (cucumber). RNAcentral describes it as "long non-coding RNA (CSAT_LNC002430)". The record is from RNAcentral. Lineage: Eukaryota; Viridiplantae; Streptophyta; Magnoliopsida; Cucurbitales; Cucurbitaceae.
GUCGAGAAAGGUUCGGAGUGGAUGGUGAAAUGGGAACCGGUGCAGGAAGGGUUCCAGGUGAAGCUGAGGAGUUGGUGUGGGACUUACUUGAGAGGGAAUGGUGGGACUCCCCCUUGGAGAAACUCGGUGACUCAUGAUCAGCCUCACACUUCCGCUACUGGGAAGUGGAUUCUGUGGGACGUGGAGAUUGUGGAUCAUUUUGAAUUCGAUGGCUUAGCCUCUUUCUCUAGCUUUGCUUCUGAUGAGCCCUUUGGGUCCGAACCUCCAACACCCUUGACUACUAAAACACAGGUAAAUUAUUAUUAUUCCAUUCUGAUUUUGAUCAAAAACUUAACUAACUGUUCGAAACCGAUCGAACCGAACACAGCUGUUCAAAUGUGAGAAGGAGUUAUUCCAUUAAAGCCAUUCCUAACCAAAUCUAAUCCGACAACAUUUUUAAAAAUCCUUAAUCAAUAUAUUGAAAAUCUGCCAGCUCAGUUGUGUAUGCUCAAUGAGAUAAACCAUAGGCAAUUGGGUAGUAAAUUAGUUUAAUAGAACUAACAAUUUUGUAUUUAAUUUCUUGUUUUGUCAUAUAUAAUUAACGACCAAAUUAACUCCUUAACCAGAUUUUCUGCCAUGUAGUAAUUAAUGAAUUAUACUGUCAACAAACACACAUUAUCUCUUUUCAAAUGGACUUCUCUCCACUAAAUAAAGAAGUGUUCUUAAACAAUUUAAAUAUAAUGAUCACUAUUUAUCUCAUAAUUCAUACCUAGCAAUUAAAUACUAUGUUAAUAUAAUCUACCUAGAAAACGAACAUACAACUAUUUUUUCACUAGUCCAAUAUUAAUUUUCUAGAGAGGCUGUGUUGGGGGAACUUUUGGCCACCAAUUUUUUAAUGAUCAAUAUUUUACACUUUUCCUAGAUUAAAAUACAGUAAGCCAAUUGAAUGAUUUUAUAUAAAAUAUUUUAAAUCUUGUUUGACUAUGUCACUCUUUUACAUUAUCAUUCAAAAUAUUAUAUACAUACGUACACUACUUUCCACUAUUUUAUAAUAUAUAGCCUUACUUUAAUUAAUAAUUCAACAUUGUUCAACUAAUGACUUUCUUUUACUCAUGGACUUUCUUUAGUCAAAUUUGACAAUCAAAUAAUUAGCAAUACCGUGUAUUAAAUAAUUCAAGCAUUGAUUGAUUGAUACUAAUGGUACCAAAUAAUUGAAUAGAUAUUCAUUGUUGUUAUCAUUAUUAUUUUAUAAAGAUAAUAGGUGAGUGUAACGAAAAGAAAGACCUAAAAUUUUGAGGUCUAGAAAUUAACGAAACAACAAAACAUAAUAAGAAAGAGAAGGCAACUAGAAAUGCCAUGAAUGAGUACGUUUAGGUUUGAAUUGAUUUUGUAAGUGUGUAUGAGCGUAAAAACAAUAAAAAGGUGAAUAUACUAAAAGUGAUUACAUGAUACCAACAAAAGGAAAAAGAGAGAGAAGAAUGAAAACAAAGAAAAGUAUGUUUUAAGGAAGCUAGCUGGAUUGGUUGGAACUACGAAACUCAUUGGACCAGAAACUAAAACUAAGACCCAAUUUUACUUUCCAUAUCCGCCAAAACAGAAAAAGGGGAAAAUUCUUAGACUUUUACCAUUCAAAUUCAGUUUUCAAGAUCAAUUUCUUCUAAACUAUAUGAAACAAAACUCGAAAGCAACAGCUAUGAAAAUCAAAAGUUGAAUCAAUCCGUGUUUAUCCAAUUCUUUCCCACUUUCCUCCAAUCUCCCCCCCCAUUGGCCAUAAUCACUCACCAAGAAUCUUCCUCCAUUUCUAUUUCUCACUCAUAAAAUGCUCAAUCAUUUCAAUCAUUUUUCUCAUUCAGUUCUAUAAUUUUUCUCAAUUUCUUCCAGAUUCGUCACAGCUCGUCUGUUAUGGAUUUGUUUCGCAAUGCUAAAACGAUCAGACUCCGGAGCCACCACAAGAAGUAUUUAUCCGCUGAUGAAGAUGAGGAAUCCGUCGUUCAGGACCGGAAUGGAUCAUCCAAGAACGUUAGGUGGACUGUCGAGUUCGUUUCCUUCUCCGAUGCUAUUAUCCGCCUGAAAAGCUGUUACGGGAAGUACUUAAUGGCGUCCAACCAGCCGUUCUUGCUUGGAAUGACUGGGCGGAAGGUUAUGCAAGCUCGUCCUGAACGGUUUGAAUCUUCGCUUGAGUGGGAGCCGGUUAAGGAUGGCUCCUUCCUUCGUCUCAAAACAAGGUACGGUAAUUACUUGAGAGCUAACGGCGGUGUUCCCCCGUGGCGGAACUCGGUUACUCACGAUGUACCGCACCGGGCUUCUACUAAGGAUUGGAUUCUAUGGGAUCUUGAUGUUGUGGAUAUCGAAACUCAAUCUUCUGUUCAUAAAACCCUAGAUCAUCCCUCCGACCCGGAUUCACCUCUGGAGGUGGAUUCAAUUUCGUCCUCGGUUUCACAAGAUUCCGCUCGUCCUUCAACUGCUGAGGUAUGUUACUAAACUUACCACCGUCAAUUCAUUUUCAUGAAACCCCAAUAAAUAUUUAUUUUGAAUUGAUUUCAAAAUUUAUCACAAAUGAUCAGUACAACGUUGGUGGAGGAUCAAAUUCACCUCCAAAAUCAGAGGGGAGGAGGAUAUCUUUCCUAUUUGCUGAUGAAAAUGGAGAAGAUGAGGAUUCAGAGAGACAUUCAUUGAAUUUCAAUGGGAAAGGAGUGGAGGAUUUGACUCGUAAAUUAGAAGAAGAGAUGGGAAUUGAAGGUGUAGUUGUAUGUACUCGUAGCCCUCUGAAUGGAAAGCUUUACCCAAUUCGGUUGCAACUUCCUCCCAACAAUGGAA